This 259-nucleotide ribosomal RNA is filed under the name uncultured bacterium. RNAcentral's name for it is "partial 16S ribosomal RNA". It matches the Rfam family "Bacterial small subunit ribosomal RNA", at positions 524 to 781 of the family's 1533-position model. The record is from RNAcentral.
UACGUAGGGCGCAAGCGUUGUCCGGAAUUAUUGGGCGUAAAGAGCUCGUAGGCGGCCUGUUGCGUCCGCUGUGAAAACCCGGGGCUUAACCCCCGGGCUUGCAGUGGAUACGGGCAGGCUGGAGGCAGGCAGGGGAGAACGGAAUUCCCGGUGUAGCGGUGAAAUGCGCAGAUAUCGGGAGGAACACCGGUGGCGAAGGCGGUUCUCUGGGCCUGUACUGACGCUGAGGAGCGAAAGCGUGGGGAGCGAACAGGAUUAG